UUGAACGCUGGCGGCAUGCCUAACACAUGCAAGUCGAACGGCAGCACGGGGGGUAACCCCUGGUGGCGAGUGGCGGACGGGUGAGUAAUGCGUAGGAAUCUGCCCAUUAGCGGGGGACAACUUAGGGAAACUUAAGCUAAUACCGCAUACGCCUGCCAAUUUAGCGGUUGGUAGGGAAAGCAGGGGAUCUUCGGACCUUGCGCUAUUGGAUGAGCCUACGUCGGAUUAGCUAGUUGGUAGGGUAACGGCCUAUCAAGGCGACGAUCCGUAGCUGGUCUGAGAGGACGAUCAGCCACACUGGGACUGAGACACGGCCCAGACUCCUACGGGAGGCAGCAGUGGGGAAUAUUGGACAAUGGGGGCAACCCUGAUCCAGCAAUGCC
RNAcentral lists this ribosomal RNA (383 nucleotides) under uncultured bacterium. RNAcentral's name for it is "bacterial SSU rRNA". It matches the Rfam family "Bacterial small subunit ribosomal RNA", at positions 30 to 398 of the family's 1533-position model. The record is from RNAcentral.